ACUCCUACGGGAGGCAGCAGUGGGGAAUAUUGCACAAUGGGCGCAAGCCUGAUGCAGCCAUGCCGCGUGUGUGAAGAAGGCCUUCGGGUUGUAAAGCACUUUCAGUCGUGAGGAAGGUAGUGUAGUUAAUAGCUGCAUUAUUUGACGUUAGCGACAGAAGAAGCACCGGCUAACUCCGUGCCAGCAGCCGCGGUAAUACGGAGGGUGCGAGCGUUAAUCGGAAUUACUGGGCGUAAAGCGCAUGCAGGUGGUUUGUUAAGUCAGAUGUGAAAGCCCGGGGCUCAACCUCGGAAUUGCAUUUGAAACUGGCAGACUAGAGUACUGUAGAGGGGGUAGAAUUUCAGGUGUAGCGGUGAAAUGCGUAGAGAUCUGAAGGAAUACCGGUGGCGAAGGCGGCCCCCUGGACAGAUACUGACACUCAGAUGCGAAAGCGUGGGGAGCGAAACAGGAUUAGAUACCCUGGUAGGACAGUG
RNAcentral lists this ribosomal RNA (473 nucleotides) under uncultured bacterium. RNAcentral's name for it is "bacterial SSU rRNA". It matches the Rfam family "Bacterial small subunit ribosomal RNA", at positions 335 to 799 of the family's 1533-position model. The record is from RNAcentral.